UUUAAAUCAAGAAAGAAAAAAUAAUGAAAACAUUCAAAUAAUAUAUGUCAUUGUGUGAAGUGAUUAAUCAGCUGUAAUAUGAUGUCAAAAAUCGCUAUUUAACAAUCGAAAAAGUAACUCACUAAAUAAGUUAGGUCUGUUGCACCCCUCCCUUCUUUUCCAGAUUUCUAGAGGACAAGAUUUUGUAUGGAAAAACUUUUAAGCAUCAGUAGCAACAACGGUGAAUUUGAUCCGAACGAGGUAUUUUGAUGCCUAUGAGGUAUUAUCUUUUUGGUUUUCACUAAGCAACUUACAAUAAGAUUUUGGGUUGUGCAUUGGUUGUAAGCCUAUACAGAUCAAUUUCUCAUAUACUUGUUGAUUUGGUUUUAUUUGUUAUGAAUUACGGGUGCUGAAAUAGUUUAUGUACUAUCUAAAUCUUAGGAUAUUAAUAUAAUUGUAUUUUAAAGCAAUAUCUUGCUAUAUCAAAAUCUUUUUCUUUCUUUCUUUUUUUGUUUACAGAUUGUUAAUCUGUGGUACAAUGCUUAAAUGACUAUUAGGAUCAACUCAUUACCAAAACUGCUUGAUUAUUGUAUGCAUAUAAGUUGUUUGAUGAAAUGCUUAUAUGAGCUGUCCUUUUGGAACUAGAAUUAUUGGCCGCGUGGUGAUUCAAAAUUAGGUGGAAUAGCAAUGGGACUUUGUACAGAAGCUGUAAUUGUUGCCCAUCAAUACUACAUUCUUUGUAAUUUGCUAAAUUUAAAUAACCAUGGUACUAAUUAUUAAAGUGCAACACUAUUCUUACACUAUUCUCACAUUUUCUUUUCCUUUCCAAAUUCAUGAUUCAUAUACAAGCUAAGAGACUAGUUAGUACAAAAGUAAUAAAAAAUUAAUGGUGAAAUUUUUUAGAAAUGCAAUUAUGCACUUCCCUUAUCCUAAGAAAAGUAAUGAAUUUUUGUGAUCUUAGUUACGAACAAUUGUGUACUUACAAAGGAGAGAACCAUAAGAAUAGUCCUAGUUACGAAUUAUUGUAGUUAUGUCAUGAACAUUAAAAAAACCAUUGUGGUUUUAUUAUAAAAUUUUAUGGUAUAAUUAUGAAAGAGUAUAUGGCUUGCAUCUUUUUAGGUGUGUCUAUCAUGAAUUUUUUCCGAACCUUUACAUGUUGUAAUGAAUUUUGAGUUUUAGAAUUAUAGACACUUUAAGUAAUUUCUACAAAACUGUUUAAGUUUUAUAAGCCUAGAAUUGCAUAGUAGCAAUAACAGUUUAUAUAGUCUUAACAAUCUAUUACGGUUGAAAAAUGUAGUCAGUGAUUAUUUUUUCAAUUGGCUUUCACAUGUUUGAUAAAUUGCCUCAAAGUGGUGUGCUCGUGUAUUUAUUUAUUAUUUUUUUGGGGAUUUAAGUGUGACUUGUUUUAUUUUCUACUCAAUAAAAUAGCUAACUUUGAAUGUGGAGAUAUUGGGAAACUAGAGGUUUACAUCAAACAUUCAUCAUAGAUAAUAUGACAAUCGCUAUAAUGUAUGAUGAUUUCUUUUGUUAUUUCUGACCUUUUCUUUUCCUUGCAUAUUUUCUUUUUCUUACUCUAUCGGAUAACAAAAGUGGCUUCUUAAAAUGGAUUUAUUUGUUCAUAAAGACAUUGGUAUUGGAAUGACCAAAGAGGAACUCAUUGACUGUCUUGGAACUGUUGUUCAGAGUGUUACUUUAAAAAUUCUUCAAUGAUCUUAAGAAGGAAAUAAAAUUGUUUGAGUAUAAUCAUCAACAAAGUGCAACUGGGAAAGUGGCACUAAUGGAGAUUAUAUGUUUUACAUGCUUUGGAAGAAUGAGGAAGCAUGAAGCUCUUUCAAUCAUGCCAUGAAAGGAAACAGAGUAAACGGUGAAAGGAAAUCAACAUUUAUUUUUGGGGUUGAUUGAAUCAAAUGGGUUUGACAUACAUCCACUUGUUCAAGAUAUAUGAAGUACCUGAGUUGUUUAAAUUAGAUGUCAUUGUAAUUUUUAUGUUUUAUUUUUUAUUUUUUGAUUUGGGAUAUGUAAGUUAGAUUACAAUUGAUUUUUAUGAGUUUAUGUUGUUCAUUUCAUGGAUGUUGUAUUUAUAUAUAGCAACUCUGGCUUAGAUCCGACUCGUUGAUGUUUUGGAUCCGAGUUUCAUUGUCUUAUAUGGUUGUUCA
This is a non-coding RNA of Camellia sinensis, 2135 nucleotides long. The record is from RefSeq and is a predicted model, not a curated record. NCBI's taxonomy places the organism in Eukaryota, Viridiplantae, Streptophyta, Magnoliopsida, Ericales, Theaceae.